AACGAACGCUGGCGGCAUGCCUAACACAUGCAAGUCGAACGAGACCUUCGGGUCUAGUGGCGCACGGGUGCGUAACGCGUGGGAACCUGCCCUUAGGUUCGGAAUAACUCCCCGAAAGGGGUGCUAAUACCGGAUAAUGUCUUCGGACCAAAGAUUUAUCGCCUUUGGAUGGGCCCGCGUUGGAUUAGCUAGUUGGUAGGGUAAAAGCCUACCAAGGCGACGAUCCAUAGCUGGUCUGAGAGGAUGAUCAGCCACACUGGGACUGAGACACGGCCAAGACUCCUACGGGAGGCAGCAGUGGGGAAUAUUGGACAAUGGGCGAAAGCCUGAUCCAGCAAUGCCGCGUGAGUGAUGAAGGCCUUAGGAUUGUAAAGCUCUUUUACCCGGGAUGAUAAUGACAGUACCGGGAGAAUAAGCCCCGGCUAACUCCGUG
Molecule: ribosomal RNA, 433 nt
Filed under: uncultured bacterium
Lineage: Bacteria
Description: partial 16S ribosomal RNA
Rfam family: Bacterial small subunit ribosomal RNA
Source: RNAcentral